UCCGUUGUCGUCCAACGGUUAGGAUAUCUGGCUUUCACCCAAGAGACCCAGGUACGAUCCCCGGCAACGGCG
This 72-nucleotide transfer RNA is filed under the name Eutrema salsugineum. It matches the Rfam family "tRNA". Rfam says of the family: Transfer RNA (tRNA) molecules are approximately 80 nucleotides in length. Their secondary structure includes four short double-helical elements and three loops (D, anti-codon, and T loops). Further hydrogen bonds mediate the characteristic L-shaped molecular structure. tRNAs have two regions of fundamental functional importance: the anti-codon, which is responsible for specific mRNA codon recognition, and the 3' end, to which the tRNAs corresponding amino acid is attached (by aminoacyl-tRNA synthetases). tRNAs cope with the degeneracy of the genetic code in two manners: having more than one tRNA (with a specific anti-codon) for a particular amino acid; and 'wobble' base-pairing, i.e. permitting non-standard base-pairing at the 3rd anti-codon position. The record is from Rfam by way of RNAcentral. Lineage: Eukaryota; Viridiplantae; Streptophyta; Magnoliopsida; Brassicales; Brassicaceae.